UGCAAUUUAUUUGUGACAUUCUUUUACAAAAUGCAGUAAGAAUUAAAUGGUGGGCAUAUAGCAGCUAGAGAAUGUUCAUAGCAGAUAGCAAAUAGUUGGUUCUAUGUACUUGAAGUAGACUGCUAAAAUAUGAAAAUAUUUAUUUUACAUAUCAAAGAUCAAUGGUAAAGCUAUAACACAUCAUACAUGUAAUAUCAUAACCAAAGUUCGUCGAACUAGUAUUGGAGGUUGCACUAACUGACAAUUGUUUCAGUAUGGUACUGGUAUGCACCAUACCAAGCUAUGAUGUGCUAAAGACAAAACAUUGAGAGAAGAGGAGGAAA
This 323-nucleotide long non-coding RNA is filed under the name Elaeis guineensis (African oil palm). Its description in RNAcentral is "long non-coding RNA (EGUI_LNC020412)". The record is from RNAcentral. Lineage: Eukaryota; Viridiplantae; Streptophyta; Magnoliopsida; Arecales; Arecaceae.